GACGAACGCUGGCGGCGUACUUAACACAUGCAAGUCGAACGGAAAGGCCCUGCUUUUGUGGGGUGCUCGAGUGGCGAACGGGUGAGUAACACGUGAGUAACCUGCCCUUGACUUUGGGAUAACUUCAGGAAACUGGGGCUAAUACCGGAUAGGAGCUCCUGCUGCAUGGUGGUGGUUGGAAAGUUUCGGCGGUUGGGGAUGGACUCGCGGCUUAUCAGCUUGUUGGUGGGGUAGUGGCUUACCAAGGCUUUGACGGGUAGCCGGCCUGAGAGGGUGACCGGCCACAUUGGGACUGAGAUACGGCCCAGACUCCUACGGGAGGCAGCAGUGGGGAAUAUUGCACAAUGGGCGGAAGCCUGAUGCAGCAACGCCGCGUGCGGGAUGACGGCCUUCGGGUUGUAAACCGCUUUCGCCUGUGACGAAGCGUGAGUGACGGUAAUGGGUAAAGAAGCACCGGCUAACUACGUG
RNAcentral lists this ribosomal RNA (468 nucleotides) under uncultured bacterium. Its description in RNAcentral is "partial 16S ribosomal RNA". It matches the Rfam family "Bacterial small subunit ribosomal RNA", at positions 28 to 507 of the family's 1533-position model. The record is from RNAcentral.